UUUUUUAAUUGGAAACUUGUAUGAAGGGUUGAACGAAGUAUAGGCUGUUUCUUAAAAAAUAAAUUAAAACUUUACUUUUUAGUUAAAAGGCUAAAAUAACAUUAAAGGACGAGAAGACCCUAUAGAGUUUUACAAUAAUUUAUUUAUUUUAUUAAAGAAUUUUUAAGAAUUAAUUUGAUUUAUUGUUUUAUUGGGGUGAUAAUAAAAUUUAAUAAACUUUUAUAUGAUUUUUACAUUAAUAAAUGAAUAUUUGAUCCAAUAAUAUUGAUUAAAAAUUUAAAUUACCUUAGGGAUAACAGCGUAAUAUUUUUUUAGAGUUCUUAUCGAUAAAAAUUUUUGC
RNAcentral lists this ribosomal RNA (340 nucleotides) under Sciarosoma nigriclava. Its description in RNAcentral is "partial 16S ribosomal RNA". The record is from RNAcentral. Lineage: Eukaryota; Metazoa; Arthropoda; Insecta; Diptera; Diadocidiidae.